CGGACCUCCUCGGCGGGCGGCGGCGGGGCCUGCCUGUGCGCUCUGCGCCCGCCCGCGCCUACCCUCCAUGGCGUUUAUCCGGAAGAAGCAGCAGGAGCAGCAGCUGCAGCUCUACUCCAAGGAGAGAUUUUCCUUGCUGCUGCUUAACUUGGAGGAGUACUACUUUGAACAGCAUAGAGCCAAUCACAUUUUGCACAAGGGCAGUCACCAUGAAAGGAAAAUCAGAGGCUCCUUAAAAAUAUGUUCAAAAUCGGUGAUUUUUGAACCAGAUUCAAUAUCCCAGCCCAUCAUCAAGAUUCCUUUGAGAGACUGUAUAAAAAUAGGAAAGCAUGGAGAAAAUGGAGCCAAUAGACACUUCACAAAGUAUGUCAUUUUCACCACUGUUUAAUUUUACUUCAACCAAAAAGCUGUAUAUAUUUAAUGACUUUUAUCUGUAUUUUAGGGCAAAAUCUGGGGGUAUUUCACUCAUUUUCAGUCAGGUAUAUUUCAUUAAAGAACAUAAUGUUGUUGCACCAUAUAAAAUAGAAAGGGUAAGUAAAGCUUUUCAUGUAUUUCCAGCAAUUUAUAUAGUCAUUUUGAACAAUAAAAUUUUGUGACUCUGUUAACAUCUUUAAUCAAAUAUAAUAAUGAGUAUUUAAAAGCUUCUUACCUGGAAGUU
This 658-nucleotide small RNA is filed under the name Pan troglodytes (chimpanzee). RNAcentral describes it as "retained intron". The record is from RNAcentral. Lineage: Eukaryota; Metazoa; Chordata; Mammalia; Primates; Hominidae.